This is a long non-coding RNA of Xenopus tropicalis (tropical clawed frog), 782 nucleotides long. RefSeq lists it as uncharacterized. The transcript is spliced from 4 exons. The record is from RefSeq and is a predicted model, not a curated record. NCBI's taxonomy places the organism in Eukaryota, Metazoa, Chordata, Amphibia, Anura, Pipidae.
UAAUCACUAAUGACAGAUGUAUGCCCUUUGGCCAUCAGUAACUGACCAGAAACAAAAGACAAAAGCACAUAUGCUAUAUCAAUUAUAUUGGCAAUAAGUACCACAUGUGUCUGGGAGAUAUGACCUCGGGAACUGGCCAGAAACAAAAGACAAAGCACAUAUGCUAUAUCAAUUAUCUAAGCACUCAGGACACUCUGUGUCUGGGGACUCUUGACCACAGGAACAUGAUCAGGGACAAAAGCAUAUACAAAUUAGCAACAUAUGUUUAAAUGGUAUCUAGUCUAAUUAAUUAUAAGUUGAGGGGGAGUGUUAAAUAUGGUAAUAUCUAAAACUUAUAAUUUAAGCAGACCCAAUAGCAGUGCAGAUAGUUUUGGGGCGUAAUUUAGGCCUAGCCAAUCGCAAAAACAAGGCAUCUAUGGGCGGUAAUACAGGAUGGCCAUAAAUACAGCGUACCAUGAGACCUGGACAAUACAAAAGUUUUAUUCACAGAAACAUUUUUCUGACGAUAAAAAAACAAGAUGUCUCAACACAGCGCUAAUAGCAUGUUUAACAACUUUGGGGACAUUACAGAUUCUCAGUUAGCGGCUGUUAUGGAUGUUGUAUUACCACCAUUGCCCUAUUCACAAACAGAAGAUAUUUUAGGACUAACAGCUAGAGACCUAAACAUUCUUGACUGUGCAACUCUAAAAGAGCCCGACAUUGAGAUCAUUGCGCAUAAUGUUGAGAGCCGUGCAACACACAAAAAACCAUCACAGACUGAAAAAAGGGGGAAAACAUUUCGU